AAGGGCGUAGCUCAGUUGGGAGAGCAGCCGUACUGCGAGAUGCGUGCGGAGGGUCGCGGGUUCAAAUCCAUGCCCCCUUU
RNAcentral lists this transfer RNA (80 nucleotides) under Caudoviricetes sp. RNAcentral's name for it is "tRNA-Arg". Lineage: Duplodnaviria; Heunggongvirae; Uroviricota; Caudoviricetes. The record is from RNAcentral.